UGGGGAAUAUUGCGCAAUGGGGGAAACCCUGACGCAGCGACGUCGUGUGAGGGAAGAAGGCCUUCGGGUCGUAAACCUCUGUCAGAAGGGAAGAACCGCCUUGGACCUAAUACGUCCUAGGCCUGACGGUACCUUCAGAGGAAGCGCCGGCUAACUCCGUGCCAGCAGCCGCGGUAAUACGGAGGGCGCAAGCGUUAAUCGGAAUCACUGGGCGUAAAGCGCGCGUAGGCUGUUUGAUAAGUCAGACGUGAAAUCCCUCGGCUCAACCGGGGAACUGCGUUUGAUACUGUCGAACUCGAGUCCUGGAGAGGGUGGCGGAAUUCCUGGUGUAGGAGUGAAAUCCGUAGAUAUCAGGAGGAACACCGGUGGCGAAGGCGGCCACCUGGACAGGUACUGACGC
Molecule: ribosomal RNA, 400 nt
Filed under: uncultured bacterium
Lineage: Bacteria
Description: bacterial SSU rRNA
Rfam family: Bacterial small subunit ribosomal RNA
Source: RNAcentral